RNAcentral lists this long non-coding RNA (611 nucleotides) under Sus scrofa (pig). RNAcentral describes it as "lncRNA (ENSSSCG00055026964.1)". Lineage: Eukaryota; Metazoa; Chordata; Mammalia; Artiodactyla; Suidae. The record is from RNAcentral.
GGCUUACCUGUUGCACCACAGAGGGCUAGUACUUCCAUGCCUUAGAAAGGACGUGGUCUUUACGAAGGUUGAAAGAAACUGCAUCUCCUUCCCUAAAGUAAUUAACACAAAAGCAAUUCCCCCAAAAUGCAGCGGGCACACAGAGGUGGCAUUGUGCUGGGGUGGGUUUAAAGUUAAGGGGUUUGGGUUCAGAUGUCCACUGUGUGGACGGGACAAGCCAAGCUACAGACUGAAAUCUGCUGAUCCGCUUCACAAGAAUCUCACUGCACAUCUUGAUCAAGACCAGGAGCGAGGAUACACAGCCAGUGCUUCACGAGUGGACUGAAGAGAAAAGGCAUCCAGCUGCACGGAGUGGGGAUGGGAUUGAGGCACUAACACCCACUUCAGGGGCACCAGGUGUCACUAAUAAUUAAGAUUAUCUGUGGUAUAAAUCCGGCUGUUUCGGAGCGUUCCCUACAACCACUUUGGGAUCCAGCGUUCCGGCGUCCGGUAAGUGAGUUGGCUUUUUUCUCUUUGUAUUUAAUUUUUAAAAAUUGUGUUGCUGUUUGUAUCCUUUUGUCUUCUCUUCCUUUUGGCUUUAGGUCUUAAAUAAAGUCCAUCCUGUAGUCUCA